GCCUCCAUGCCCAGCUCAUAAUGAUUUUUCUAGCUACAGAGAAAACUGAAAAGAAUACUAAGUUUCAUGGUAAUAAUAUUAUGUAAGAGACAGGUUCUAGUUUAAAAGCUUUGUCUUGGGCCGGGGAUAUAGCUCAGUGGCAUAAGCGCGUGCCUGGCAAACACAAGGUCCUGAAUUGGAUUCCCGGUACCCGCCCCAAAAAAAGUUUUGUCUUUUGUGGGCUUCUCUUGACAACAAAGCUAAAGAACGCACUUCCGUUAAUGUAACCCCAUACAAAUUUCUAAUGCCGCUUCCUGUAUUUGUUCUGCUUUGUUUUUGAUAAAAACUAAAAAUCACACAUGGGAUGGCAAAUGAAUCAAGUGAUUUUGAAGGGGGUUAAAAUUAAUCUGAGAACUUCAACGUCUUCCUGUCUAGCAGUGCAAUAUGUAGCGUAUCUACAGAAUUACACAGAGUGAGACCAAUUAGUUCUGGAAUAGCAGAGAUGACAUUUUUAAUGACUGUUUCUCUGGACUUUUGUUGACAGAUUUUAUAUAUGUACGUAUAUGUGUUGUUGUUACACAUCGUUCUGAAAGUUCUCUUGUGAGUGUCUUUGCCAGGUAUGAUUAAAAGAAACUAUGAAUGGUACUUUUGAGUGCCAUCACAAAAAGGCAAGUUCCUAAAAACAUGACGGUGUGUCUUCAUCCACCUAAUUCACUGGAUCUGAAACAUGUGACUUCUGGUUUUUCCCCAAGGUCAAAAUGACCAUGAAAGGGAAACAUUUUGAAUAGAUUCAGGACAGCAAGGCAGUUAUGACAGUGCUACAAUAGGCAUUCAUGAAAGAGGGCUUCCAGAACUGCUUCAGAAAGUGGAAAGAAUGACGAGUCACCAUUGUUACUCCUAGAAAGCCUGAUGUGAAAGACAAAACUGUUAUCAGUACUACUGAACCUGAAGCUUGUGUGAAAGAUGAAAA
Molecule: long non-coding RNA, 949 nt
Organism: Chinchilla lanigera (long-tailed chinchilla)
Lineage: Eukaryota; Metazoa; Chordata; Mammalia; Rodentia; Chinchillidae
Exons: 3
Source: RefSeq, a predicted model, not a curated record